CUCCCAGCACACUCAACUUUGUCGGGCUCACUCGAGUCUAGCUUCGCAACGGUUCAGCAGCGUUCGGCGGUCACCGCGGACUUCAAGCGCGUGGCUAGCCCAACUCCGAGAGCUUGAGACGGCCGAGCACAGAAGCUGCGGCAUGCGCUGAAGUUUUCUUCGACCAUCGUGUGCGCCGCUGCAGCAUGCGUGCUACCUGAAUAUGGCAGUCAUGGACUUCGGGCCACGUACUGUUUUUUUUUUUUCUUUCUUGGAAUUAACGUGAGAAGGCGCUGCUGCUAUCGUCAAUCACCUCGGCUGCCUUUCUCGGUGGAACCUGCCCUUCCUCAUCUUUUUCUCGCAACUGGAAUGACAUCGCCUGCCAACUUUCGCUGCCUUCGGACAAAGAAAGCAAUUCAGCCUCAAGCCCGCCACUUCUAGCCCCAACCGAGCUUUCCGCCUGGACACAGCGAGCAACUUCCUGCGCGGGAGACUCCCUACUUCUACUUAAGCAGUCUCCGUCUUGGAACUUGGGGCACGCCACCGCACCGAGCGCGGUCGUGACGUCGACUUUGCUGGCGCAGGUUACCGACCAAGCUUCUGCAGUUGACAAAGAAUGGCCUUUCAUCUUGCAGUCAUUCCUAGUCGGUCAAGGAAUCCGGCACGCUGAAGUGCUUUCCUCCUGUUGCUGCGUAGGCGACAUGAAUGACCACUUGACCUCCAGCAUAUUAAUAAAACCGGCUUUUCGAGUUCGGUUCUUGUUAUUUUGAUCAGUAAAUAUUUAUUAAGGGGACAAAGAGGCAUAACGCUGCAUAUACAAAUGCAGAUUACGGUGCAGAGAAAAACAAAAGCUCGAAUUGUUUCUGCAACGAAUUGAAUAAACUCUGAAAUUUUGUUCGUUGUCUGUA
Long non-coding RNA from Dermacentor andersoni, 887 nucleotides. RefSeq lists it as uncharacterized. The record is from RefSeq and is a predicted model, not a curated record. Lineage: Eukaryota; Metazoa; Arthropoda; Arachnida; Ixodida; Ixodidae.